This 199-nucleotide unclassified non-coding RNA is filed under the name uncultured Ascomycota. RNAcentral describes it as "sequence contains ITS1". RNAcentral also lists the same sequence under 1 other name. Lineage: Eukaryota; Fungi; Ascomycota. The record is from RNAcentral.
CCGAGUUAGGGUUUCGUCCAACGAGCCCGACCUCCCAACCCUUUGUCUAUUAUACCUUGUCGUUGCUUCGGCGGACCGGUCACGAUCAACUGGUCGUGACCGCCGGGGAUCUGUCCCUGGAGAGCGUUCGCCGAUGGCCUAACCACAAACUCUUGUACCAAACCAUGUCGUCUGAAUUACUUGAUUAAAAUCAAAAACA